GCCCUGGGUCAGGGCGAGUGCAGCCACCCGCAGACAGCAAGUUGGCUCCAUGGCCCCAGAAGCGAAGCCCUGCUGGUAUUUUCGCCACUCCUUGCUAUGCCCUUUAUAUACAUUACCUCGGGCUCUUGCCCAGGUCACAAGGGCCGGAACUAGGACUCAAAGCCAGGGAACACUGCAAAGCCAGCCACCCAGCAGCUCUGCCUGGCAAGUUACCGCAAACAGCAGAUGGCUCUGAACAAUCUGAACGCAGGCCCCCCUCUCCUUACAGCCGGCACCCCAGCCCACCCCCGUCUACAAAAAAGACUUCUUUCGUGGACAGGCUGAGAAUCAUCGUCACCACCAUCACCCUGUAUCUAAUCCCAAGACGGCUCUCCAGGGCUGCAGAAACUUUCUUCCCACGCUGCCUGCCAGCGCCCCCGACCCCACCCCGUUUCCUGUAACUUCUCCUAGAUAUAGCCCAGCUGGGUCUUCUCAUCAUAAUGCAAAUGACCCAAGGUCUUAAGCCCGUCAGCGUGGAAGGGAACCUCCAGCAGAAACCGGCCACUCCAAAACAGAGAAAGACGACAGCCAGAGCCAUGACCCAGCACAGCUCAUGCAAACACUAGGAUCCAUAAGAAAGUGCUGGACCUUCAAGGAGAGGAGAAACAGGUACUCCCUCAGGCUCCAGUCCAUUCAUUUCUUCACUACUUCAUUCAUUCAACAAAAACUGAUUAAAUUACCGGGUUCAAGGCUGCGUCCCUAUAAUCAAUGGUACAAAUAUAACAACCCACAGAAUUAGGAUGUAGAUACACACAGACACAUGUAUGUGUAUACACAGAUUUUAUUAUUCAUGUGUGUGGGUUGUGAGAGCUAUUCCAAGAAUAAUCUGAAAAUCAUUGGUAUCAGGCUUUGAAAUGCAUCGAUGCUUUUUAAUACAUUUACCUCCUUGGUGAUGUUUG
Molecule: long non-coding RNA, 938 nt
Filed under: Homo sapiens (human)
Lineage: Eukaryota; Metazoa; Chordata; Mammalia; Primates; Hominidae
Description: HSALNT0314219
Source: RNAcentral